Hemicordylus capensis (graceful crag lizard) is the source of this 618-nucleotide long non-coding RNA. RefSeq lists it as uncharacterized. The record is from RefSeq and is a predicted model, not a curated record. The transcript is spliced from 4 exons. NCBI's taxonomy places the organism in Eukaryota, Metazoa, Chordata, Lepidosauria, Squamata, Cordylidae.
UGAUGCACUCAUUGUCUCCUUGGUGAUGACUAAAGCAUUAGCCAUCAAGUUUUAGCUAUCAUGGAGGAUGCAGGAAAAGCAGCAGCAUCUCACUUGGGUAGCUUGCUUCUUCUCCCCUCCUAUCCCAAGAACAGAUGUGAUAAUCAUGACAAAGCAGUUCUAAAUAUACAAAUGAGACUAUCAAGAGCCCUGCCAGAUGGUGAUUUUGCUUUGGAAGCUCAGUGGAACAGACGUGCAAAGAACUGGAUGGAGGACAAUAUUUACAGGAAAUGGCUUUGCUUGAAAAGCAUAAAGCAGUUCAUGGUCUCCCACAAGCUUAACAAAGCAACCAACUCAUAACAAAAAGUCUGAUGUGAGUCCAAUUCCAGGGGUGUUUGUUCCUGUGAAUGAAGCAUAAACCAAUGGUUCUCGUUAUGACAAAGAUGGACUGCCUCUUGGAAGCCCCUACGGAUUCAGGUGUUUUGUGCCUUUAAAAACAUUAUCUGAAGAACAAGCAGAAGUGCAGCAGGUGCAGCUGUUCGAGUAUGGAGGCUCAGUCAGCACCCGUGGAACUUCCUCUCUCAAUUUCAUAACUUCAGCAAACAAAAUAAAUAAAACAGCAGGACUCUCCUAUGCUGA